GACGAACGCUGGCGGCGUGCUUUAGGCAUGCAAGUCGAACGCGAAAGCCCCUUCGGGGGUGAGUAGAGUGGCGAACGGGUGAGUAACACGUGGGUAACCUGCCCCUCUCAGGGGGAUAACCGGGGGAAACCCCGGCUAAUACCCCGUACGCUCGCUGGGGCGCAUGCUCCGGCAAGGAAAGGUAGCUUCGGCCAUCCGGCGAGGGAGGGGCCCGCGGCCCAUUAGCUAGUUGGUGGGGUAACGGCCCACCAAGGCGACGAUGGGAAGCUGGCCUGAGAGGGGAGUCGGCCAAGCUGGGCUGGAGCAACGGCCAGGACUCCUACGGGGGGAGGAGGGCAGAAAACUUGCGCAAUGGGGGAAGGCUGGACGAGGCAACGCGGCGUGGGGGAGGAGGGCUUUCGGGUGGUAAAGCCCUGUUGUCGGGAACGAAGGGCGCAGGGUUAAUAGCCCCUAGCCUGACGGUACCCGACGAGGAAGCCCCGGCUAACUACGUG
Molecule: ribosomal RNA, 494 nt
Filed under: uncultured bacterium
Lineage: Bacteria
Description: partial 16S ribosomal RNA
Rfam family: Bacterial small subunit ribosomal RNA
Source: RNAcentral